CGCAGUGGAAACAAAUCCGACUAGUAUCCAUGAGGAUGCAGGUUCGAUCCCUGGCCUGGCUCAGUGGGUUCAUUGCCAUGAACUGUGGUGUAUUUCACAGUCAAGCCUUGGAUCCCACAUUGGUAUGGCUGUGCCAUAGGCCAGCAGCUACAGCUCUGAUGUGACCCUUUGAGAACUUCCAUAUGCCGCAAGUGCAGCCCUAAAAAAAAAAAAAAAGGAGCUUUAAUACAUGACUCUCUCCAGGUUUAAGCUUCAGGUUUUUUCAUGCUUCAUUUUAACACUCACUGUACAGUAUUUGUUCCACAAGACUCUGGUCUCUUAAGAUGUUAACUAUGUUAACUGGGACAUGUCUUUCUGUCUGUCUCUCUGUGUCUGUCUUUCUUUCUUACACACACACACACACACACACACACACACACACACAUGCUCACACAAGUUUUAUGAUCCUAUCUCAGGUCCAAACUAUUAUUCUAACUACUUCAUAGAUUUUUAUUAUUGCAACUAAAAUAUUUAUGGAGCCCCUUCUAUGUACCUCAUAAUGUGUUAGAUACCACAGAAAUAUAGGGAUAUCAUAUAACCUAGGUGAGAAGAAAAGUGUAAAUUUUAAACUUAUACUAUUCAUAUGGUUUACGAACAUACAAUCUAUACUAAUGUAUUUUGCUGCUUUUAAUUAACUUUCUUACGUGUUACCUACUUCACCUCUCAAAAACUGGUUGGGAAGGUUAUCAAUAUUCCCAUUUUAAGAUCAGAAACCUAAUUUAGGGGGUUAAUAACCAGCCCAUGGUCACCUGGUCCAUAUGUGACAGGUUCAGGAAGAGAAGCCACAUCUUCUGAAACUGACAAGACUCCAUAGAGUCCAGUGUUUACAGUCCUGUGGAGGGACUCUGAAUCACAGGCCUUAGAGCCAUGCUGUCCUCUUGAGAGAUAGAGGAAAGCAGAGUGAAGAGUCUGAAAGUGAAUGGGGCAUGAAGCCAAAAUAGGAGAAUGGCCAAGUGGGUUUGAAGCUCUAAGCCUGGACAAUGCUGAGCAGACAUGGGAAAGGGACCAGCUGGAAAACAAGGCAGAAUGGAUGGCUACUCUUGCCAAGUUGGUACGUGACUAAAGCAGGGUGAAUCAGUAAUUGAAAGAUGAGACUUUCUUCCAAGAAAGAUUUCACACUCUGUCCUACCAAUGAUAAAACCCAAAAGGGGCCAAGUAUCAAUUAGUUGGCCAAGUACAUGUAGAUCUAUUUGAACCCAGGGCCAGCCAGGCUUAAGAAAGAGGAAACAAUCUCCCUAAAUUGAUUCAACACAAAACCUUUCAAAAUGCCAGCAGGAAAUAUUUUUUGGCUGUGCCCACUGAAGUUUCAUGCCCAGGGACUGAGCCCACACCACAGGAGCAACCCAAUCCACAGCAGUGGCAAUACCAGAUCGUUAACCCACUGAGCCACUAGGGAACUCCUGUUCCUAGAAGGUCACUAUGGAACAGGGAACACUAGGGAACAGCAAUUGAGGAGCCAAUCCUAAUAUUUAUAGAAAUGUGAACAACCCAGAUUAUGCAUAACAAUUUUGAAAAAAACGAAAAGAAUAAAGUUGAAGGACUUUCAAUUCUCAAUUUUAAAACUCACUAUAAAGUUGCAGUAAUCAAAACAGUAUGGUACUGGCAUAAAGGUAUAGAGAGAAUAAAAUUGAGAGCCCAGAUAUAAGACCUAAUAGUCAAUUGAUUUUUGGUAAAGGUGCCAAAGUAAACACUGGUGGAGUGGAUACUCUUUUCAAACAAAUGGUGCUGGGACAAUUAGAUAUCUACAUACAAAGAGAUUAAUUUAGACCCUUAUCUCAUACCAUAUACAAAGUUAACCCCAAAAAGUGAUGAGACCUAAGUAUAGGCAAUAAAUCUAUAAGCUCUUUAGAAAAAAGGAAAAAAUCUUUAUGACAUUGGGUUAGGAAAAAUAUUCUUGAUAUACUACUAAAAGCAUGAGCCUCAAGGAGUUCCCACUGUGGUGCAACAGGCUCCAUGGUGUCUCUGCAGUGCCAGGAUGCAAGUUCAAUCCCUGACCAAGCACAGAGCGUUAAAGGAGUGAUGCUAUCACAGCUAUAAUGUAGCUUGAAGGAUCCCUGGCCUGGGAACUCCAUCUGCCAUGGGGAGACCAAAAGAAAAAAAAAAGGCAAGUAAAAACAUGAGUCUCAAAAGGAAAUAAAAUGAUAAACUGGACUUAAUCUCAUACUUCUGAAUUCUCUUUGAGUGGUUUAGUAAGAUCCAACAGAUGAGUGUUGUACAGUAAAUGAAUUGAAACCUCUUUGUGUCAGUAAGCUUUCUGCUCAUUCUCCCCUCUGCUCUGGAGCAAAAAAACCCAUCAAUUCCCAAUAAUUACACUUAGUAAUUAUAAUUACUGGUAUUAAUUCCUGUUGUUUCCUAUGGCUCCAAUAAUAGAUUAUCACAAAAUAGUGGCUUAAAAUGACAAAUGUUAUUAUCUUACAGUUCUAGAAGUCAGAAGUCCAAAAUCAGUCUUACUGGGUUAAUAUCAAGGUAUUGAUAGGCUCUAUAAGAGGUGCUAAAGGAGAACCUGUUUUCUUGCCUUUCCAAGACUCUACAGACCACCUGCAUUCCCUGGUUCAUGGUCCUUUCCUCCAUCUCCAAAGCCAGCAGCAUAGCAUCUUCAGAUUCUCUCUCUUACACCUACUUCCAUCAUCACAGCUCUCCCUUACUUUCCUACCUGGUUUUAAUCAGGACCCUUCUGAUUGCAUUAGGUCCACCUAAGAAUCCAGAAUAAUCACCCCCCUUUCAAGACACCUAAUCACAUCUACAAAGUCCCUUUUCUCAUGUAAUAUAGCAUUUUACAGGUUUCAGGGUUAGGAAUGGACAAUUUUGGGGAGGGGGUUUAUUAUUUAUCCUACUAUAGCCAUUAAAAAAAUCAUCUAAAAUGUUAAUUCUGCUUUCUCCAGUGUAUCAAUUCGUGAGAGGGUAUGAUGAAACUAAAUAUGAUGACAUUUUGACAUGCAAUUGAAUCCUAAUAAGGUCUUCCAUUUAGUAGGGUGUAUGUGUGUGUGUGUUUGUGUGUGCCUAAAGGAACCUGUCAGAAUUCAAAGGUGAUCUAUAUUUUUACUUUGAUACUGAGAGACUAAAAAUAUCACCAAUUGCAAAAUACAGUCAUAGGGAUUGGAGUGUGAACAAACCAUCACAUUCCCAGUCCUCAGUGUUUUGAGGAAAGGGGUAUUUUUUAGGGUAAUUGUAGGACACCAGCUGGUAGAAAGUUUCAAAUGACGUCUUUAAUUUUUUUGGUUUUCUUAAACAUCUGGUCUCUUCUGGUAGAUUUGUAUGUUGAAGAAUUUAAAUUUUCUUUGGAGUUCUAAAGCAAUUACUCUUGUCAUACUUUUGCAGUUUCUACUUGACUCCCCAGCUAAAAUUUGAGAUGAUUUCAAAUUCCAGAGCUAGAUUUUGUGACUCUCUAAUGUGGUAGUAUAAGAAAGUAUUGAUUCCAUUUCCCCCAUGGUAACAAUUUCACAGUAUUUUAUUGAAGCAGAACAGGAUUUACCCCACAAGAGUGACAUAUAUCAUGGUUUGAGAAAUUUGCUGUUUUAACACCUGUAUCCUGGUGUUCCAUUUUAUAAUUAUAGGUAGUUAUUUUUCUCCAAGGAAAAACAUAUAUUCAUCAAUUUGUUUUUACUUAUAGUCUGCUUUGUUCUAAAAAUACUUUAAGAUCUUAGUUUUCAUUUGAAAAUAUUUGUCUGGAUCAGCUUAAUAUGAUGUAAAAAUCUCAAUGGCACUUUUAAAAUUUCUCCUUGAAACCCUCCAAUUCAGAAAUGAGAAAAGCUUCCAGAACUCUUCAGAGCCACAUUCUGGACUCCACUGUUUACAGACCGUGUCAGAUGGUAGACCGGAUCUGGCAUACUAACAAUAGUUAAUAUCAUGGAGUGCUCUCCUGGAUAUAUGCCUAGGACAGUGUGGACUUCCGCCACUGCCCCUGAAAUCUGGUCUGUGUCCAGCUGGGUCCUAACACACUUAAAGCCAAGAGAGUUGGGUGAGGGGGUUGACCAGGUGAGAAGAACCUAUUCAGCCAAGUGCUAGGAGGUUGAUACCCAUGCUGUGGUGGGAGGACCCCACGUGGCUCAGGGGUCCACUUCCAUCUCCCAUCGAAGUGCUCUGCAGGUAUUUUCUUGGUUAACCUUGUAACAUCCAUAGGAAGCAGGCUCAUAGUUAUCCUCACUUUAUAAAUGAGGACUCUGAGGUUGAUCUGAAAAUAAUCUCUCCAUCUUCCCAAUUCCCUUGGUACUUUUUUCAGUCCCCAGUUUAAGGUAUUCUUUAAAAGCAUGAGUUUCAAGGUCCAUCACUGUUCAAAUCCUAGGGUGGGCACUUACUAGCUGAGUGCCCUUGAGUAAGUUACUUAAUUUCCCUGUGCCUCAGUUUCCCUGCCUGUAAAAUAAAAGGAGUACAAUGAAGCUAUCAACAAAGUAUAAACAGACUCAAGGACAUAGAGAACAAACCUGUGGUUGCCAACAGGGAGGGGUGAAAGAGUGGGAUGGACAAGUAGUUUGGGGUUGGUAGAUGCAAACUAUUACAUUUAGAAUGAAUAAGUAAUGAGGCCCUACUGUAUAGCACAAAGAACUAUAUCCAAUCUCUUGGGAUAGAACAUGAUGGAAGCCAGUAUGAGAAAAAGCAUGUGUGUGUGUGUGUGUGUCUGUGUGUGUAUACACAUAUGAUUGGGUCACUACAGAAAUUGACACAGCACUGUGAAUCAACUAUACCCUAAUAAAAAAUAAAUAAAUAAAUAAGUAAAAUAAGUAGCAGUGCUUUUCUCAAAGGGUAAUCACCAGAUUGCCUGAGAUAGGGCCUAGAAAUUAUUUAGAACAAUGCCUGGCACAUAACAGAUAUUAACUAAAUCUCAUUCUUAAUUUUAUGAUGGCUUUCAUCUCAUUCUUUGUAUUUGAGUAUUUUAUAAGUUAUUGUUCUCCCUCCUCUUAGAAAGUAAGCUCUUUGAAAAGAUGCUGCAUUAUUCAUCAUGAACCCCUUGGAGUAUCUAACACAAAACAGACCCUCAAUAGGUAUUCAAUUUGUGAUUUACUUCUUUCUUCCCAUUAUAAAGCACAGUUGUCUUCCUAUUAAAUUUAUCAUCAUCAGAAGAGGGCCAAACUUGUCUUCAUACAGCAGGGAAACCAAAUUAAAUGUUGUGGUAUCUGUUAGACUAAAUAGGGACACCGCUGUGUAUUGAUGGCUGGUGUGAACAUAUUCCAUGGGAAGAAGGGACAGUUUAUCUGGUGACAUGGAUGGCAUGCUUUUUUUGGCUCAUGCCAUUGCUGCAAACACUUUCCUUGCAUAAUGAACUCUCACUAAUUAUAUCCCAAAAGGCAUUUUUUUUCCUUAGCUGCAAUUCAUUUAUAUGGAACUCCUUUUAAGUAAUCUGUCCAAAGAAAUAGAAAAUAAGAUUUUGGGGAAAACUGCAAGGUAAUUAGAGCCAUGUUAAAAUAUCUUGGUGUUAGAGGCAGAGAACUUGGAAAAUAUUCAGAUAUACAGAUUGCCACAUCUGAAAUGGUACAUAUCCAAAGAGCUCAUGCAAAUUAGCUAGUCUAUCAAGUUACCACCAGUUGUUUCCUGAGUUCAAUGGACAAUUAGAAAAGUGUUUUUUGAGUCUUUGGAAGGAAUUAAAUCCAAAGCUGAUCUGUACCCACCCCCCCACCAAAAAAAUGUUGAUUCAAGUAAUUGGUUCAAGAAGUCUUAGUUUGAGGACUUUUACAAUAUCUCAUUUUCUUUGUACACUGGAGUGAGAUCAAAAUGAGGUAAUUCAUUUAGGAGUGCUUUGAAAAAUGUUACUGCAGACUUCAUAUGUAAAGUGCUAUUAUUGCAACUAGAAGAAAUUAGCCCUUAAACACUAACAAUGACAAAUAAAAAAAUGGUGUUCGGACCUGUUAUUUAAAUUCAGCAGGAAUAACUGGAUAGUUUUUUUGUUAGGGUUUUCUUUUUUUCUUUUCUUUUUUUUUUUCUUUUUAGAGCUGCCCUGAGGCAUAUGGAGAUUCCCAGACUACGAAUCGAAUUGGAGCUACAGCUGCUGGCCUACACCACACCCACAGCAAUGCCAGAUCCAAGCCACAUCUGUGACCUACACCACAGCUAAUGGCAACGCCAGAUCCUUAACCCCCUGAGCAAGGCCAGGGAUCAAACCCGAAACCUCAUGGUUCCUAGUUGGAUUUGUUUCCACUGAGCCACCAACGGGAACUCCUGGACAGUUUAAAAUGAGUUCUUGUAACCUGUGAUUCUGUGAUGACUCGUAUGCAUAAUAAUAGCAGUAGUUAUCAAUUUUUUAAUACCAUAUGCUGGGUCCUUUGUAAUUCAUAUCCCACAAGAUUUGUCACAUUUCUAAGAACUCUGAUUUCCAUUCCAAGUGAAGAACUGGAAGUUAGGAGAGAUUAAGUGCUUGCUCAAGAUCACACAGCUCAUAACAGGCCUGAGUCUCUCAGACAUCCAAACUCGCAUCUGGUUGACUCCCAGACCCUGCCUGUGACAUCAAUCUGUACCACAUCCUGUUUUCCACACUGCCUCCCACUGAGUUCCCUAUUCCCUUGGACUUGCAAUGCAGAGUCUUGGCCCUCCAUAGUUCUUGCACAUUCUUCUUACUUUCAAUACUUCACAAUGUGCUCAGGGGAAUCAAAAUGAUCGGAAAUAUCUGGCAUUGAAAUGCAUGAUAAGGCAUGAUGACACAACUUCUCCAAAACUCAAUAAUACCUGUGUCAUUAUACUCAAAGGUGAUGUGGAAACCAAUAGCAUCCUGCUCUCACAGUAACUCAUCCUCAAUGUUUGGUGGAAAAGCAACAUUUGAUGUGCUGUGACACCUGUGUGCCUCCUUCUUAUUCUCUGAAAAGAAAUGACCCAUUCUUCUUCUCAAAAAAAAAAAA
RNAcentral lists this long non-coding RNA (6863 nucleotides) under Sus scrofa (pig). RNAcentral's name for it is "lncRNA (ENSSSCG00060069263.1)". The record is from RNAcentral. Lineage: Eukaryota; Metazoa; Chordata; Mammalia; Artiodactyla; Suidae.